This 392-nucleotide ribosomal RNA is filed under the name uncultured bacterium. RNAcentral describes it as "bacterial SSU rRNA". It matches the Rfam family "Bacterial small subunit ribosomal RNA", at positions 28 to 424 of the family's 1533-position model. The record is from RNAcentral.
AUUGAACGCUGGCGGCAUGCUUUACACAUGCAAGUCGAACGGCAGCGGGGGCUUCGGCCCGCCGGCGAGUGGCGAACGGGUGAGUAAUGCAUCGGAACGUGCCCAGUCGUGGGGGAUAACACAUCGAAAGAUGUGCUAAUACCGCAUACGUCUUGAGGGAGAAAGCGGGGGAUCUUCGGACCUCGCGCGAUUGGAGCGGCCGAUGUCGGAUUAGCUAGUUGGUGGGGUAAAAGCCCACCAAGGCGACGAUCCGUAGCGGGUCUGAGAGGAUGAUCCGCCACACUGGGACUGAGACACGGCCCAGACUCCUACGGGAGGCAGCAGUGGGGAAUUUUGGACAAUGGGGGCAACCCUGAUCCAGCCAUGCCGCGUGAGUGAAGAAGGCCUCGGUU